GGAGCGCGACGCUCUCCCCAAGGACGAAGCCAUGCAUGCCCGCUCACCCGGGACGCGGCGGACGGCUCAGGACGACGGUUGCACCCCCCGCGGCGGUCCCUGCUAGCCGGACACCGCUGGCAACCCGGCGCCAAGACGUGCGCGCAAGGGCGGGCCCCCGCGGG
This 164-nucleotide ribosomal RNA is filed under the name Giardia duodenalis. Its description in RNAcentral is "Giardia intestinalis partial small subunit ribosomal RNA". The record is from RNAcentral. Lineage: Eukaryota; Fornicata; Diplomonadida; Hexamitidae.